GCCAGGCACAGUGGCAUGUGCCUGUAAUCCCAGCAACUCAGAAGCCUGAGGCAGGAGAAUCACAAAUUUGAGGCCAGUCUGGGCAAUGUAGUGAGACCCUGUCUCAA
Molecule: small RNA, 107 nt
Filed under: Marmota monax (woodchuck)
Lineage: Eukaryota; Metazoa; Chordata; Mammalia; Rodentia; Sciuridae
Source: RNAcentral